CUCCUCACUCCACCCUCUUGGGGGGUCCGCUGGGAGGGUUGUUUGGAACUAGACACUGCCUGUCUCCUAAUUUUCCCAACUCACUCUGAACUUCUCAGGUGACGGGGCAUCUGGCCUCUGGUAGGGCUGAGAGAAGGGCGUUGGGCCCGGCAUCUCACAGAGUCAGUGAUGAGCCAGGAUCAUAAGAAUCAAGGAUGCAUGUAUUGAGCCAGAGCCUGUACACGGACACUACCAGAAGGAGACACUCCAGGGGCUCAGCCACCUUAGCUCCAUUUUACAGACAAGGAAGCCAUGUCCAUGCGAUCCCACUCAUUGACCCAACCACAGGGCUCCUAAAGACAGCUAACUCACCCUGACUCAUUUAACCUCUUGACAACACUAUUCAAGGCAUCGCUACUAUUAUCUUCAUCAUCCAGGUGCUGCCUCAGUUUCUUCUGAAUAAUUACUUUCUGAGUCACCAGAGGCACUGAACUGAAUGACACAGAUGAAAGGCACCCAUUUUAGUUUGCCACCUGUUUUGAUCUGCACUCUUGCAAAGAUGAGCAAGGACGGGUGAGAAAGACUAGCUGAAUGCCCAAAGUCAUCCUGCCAUCAGGUGACAGAGCCAGGAUCCAGCAAACAGUUUCCAACGCCUGGUUUGGAUUACUGUUCAACAAAAGUUUACUUCGCCUCCCCCAGCUCUUCCUUCUGUGGGCAGAGUAUGCAUCUCCAUGUCGUUGAUAUUGGGCUUAGCCAUGUCUCUUACUUUGGGUGAUGGGGUGUUAGCGACAUGACAUGGGCUUACUCUCUUGUUCUGCUCUCAUGCCAAUGAGAAGAACAUGUCCUGACUAGCCUGUGCGUCCAUGGAGAAUGAAGGAUACGCGAAACAGACCCAGACCCAAUUCACUGUGUACAGCCAAGCCCAGCAUAUCCACAGACUCACGAGCGAGCAUAAUGGAUUGUUGUCUUAAGUCAUUGAAUGUUAGGGUGGUUUGUUAAACAGCAUUAUUACAGCAAUCACUGACUGAUACUGA
Leopardus geoffroyi (Geoffroy's cat) is the source of this 1013-nucleotide long non-coding RNA. RefSeq lists it as uncharacterized. NCBI's taxonomy places the organism in Eukaryota, Metazoa, Chordata, Mammalia, Carnivora, Felidae. The record is from RefSeq and is a predicted model, not a curated record. The transcript is spliced from 4 exons.